UACAGAGGGAGCAAGCGUUGUUCGGAAUUACUGGGCGUAAAGGGCGCGCAGGCGGGCUUGUAAGUCAGGCGUGAAAACUAUCGGCUCAACUGAUAGAUUGCGUUUGAGACUGCAGGUCUUGAGUACGGGAGAGGAAGGUGGAACUCCGCGUGUAGCGGUGAAAUGCGUAGAUAUGCGUAGGAACACCAGUGGCGAAGGCGGCCUUCUAGCCCGAUACUGACGCUGAGGCGCGAAAGCGUGGGGAGCAAACAGG
RNAcentral lists this ribosomal RNA (253 nucleotides) under uncultured bacterium. RNAcentral describes it as "partial 16S ribosomal RNA". It matches the Rfam family "Bacterial small subunit ribosomal RNA", at positions 524 to 776 of the family's 1533-position model. The record is from RNAcentral.